GCUGGCGUGGCUCAGUGGUUGAGCAUCGGCCUAUGAACCAGGAGGUCACGGUUCGAUUCCGUGGUCAGGG
Molecule: transfer RNA, 70 nt
Filed under: Myotis brandtii (Brandt's bat)
Lineage: Eukaryota; Metazoa; Chordata; Mammalia; Chiroptera; Vespertilionidae
Rfam family: tRNA
About the family: Transfer RNA (tRNA) molecules are approximately 80 nucleotides in length. Their secondary structure includes four short double-helical elements and three loops (D, anti-codon, and T loops).
Source: Rfam by way of RNAcentral